Molecule: ribosomal RNA, 358 nt
Filed under: uncultured Dialister sp.
Lineage: Bacteria; Bacillati; Bacillota; Negativicutes; Veillonellales; Veillonellaceae
Description: bacterial SSU rRNA
Rfam family: Bacterial small subunit ribosomal RNA
Source: RNAcentral
UGGGAAUCUUCCGCAAUGGGGCGAAAGCCUGACGGAGCAACGCCGCGUGAGUGAUGACGGCCUUCGGGUUGUAAAGCUCUGUGAUCGGGGACGAAUGGUCCGUAAGCUAAUAUCUUAUGGAAGUGACGGUACCCGAAUAGCAAGCCACGGCUAACUACGUGCCAGCAGCCGCGGUAAUACGUAGGUGGCAAGCGUUGUCCGGAAUUAUUGGGCGUAAAGCGCGCGCAGGCGGCUUUCCAAGUCCAUCUUAAAAGUGCGGGGCUUAACCCCGUGAUGGGAUGGAAACUGGAAAGCUGGAGUAUCGGAGAGGAAAGUGGAAUUCCUAGUGUAGCGGUGAAAUGCGUAGAGAUUAGGAAGA